GGCCAGACUCCUACGGGAGGCAGCAGUGGGGGAUAUUGCACAAUGGGGGGAACCCUGAUGCAGCAACGCCGCGUGGGUGAAGGAGCGUUUCGGCGCGUAAAGCCCUGUCAGCGGGGAAGAAGAAAGACGGUACCCGACCAAGAAGCCCCGGCUAACUACGUGCCAGCAGCCGCGGUAAUACGUAGGGGGCGAGCGUUAUCCGGAAUUACUGGGUGUAAAGGGAGCGUAGACGGCAGGGCAAGUCUGGAGUGAAAGGCAGGGGCCCAACCCCUGGACUGCUCUGGAAACUGUCCGGCUGGAGUGCAGGAGAGGUAAGUGGAAUUCCUAGUGUAGCGGUGAAAUGCGUAGAUAUUAGGAGGAACACCAGUGGCGAAGGCGGCUUACUGGACUGUAACUGACGUUGAGGCUCGAAAGCGUGGGGAGCAAACAGGAUUAGAUACCCGGGUAA
RNAcentral lists this ribosomal RNA (448 nucleotides) under uncultured bacterium. Its description in RNAcentral is "bacterial SSU rRNA". It matches the Rfam family "Bacterial small subunit ribosomal RNA", at positions 329 to 793 of the family's 1533-position model. The record is from RNAcentral.